RNAcentral lists this long non-coding RNA (962 nucleotides) under Theobroma cacao (cacao). RNAcentral's name for it is "long non-coding RNA (TCAC_LNC000542)". The record is from RNAcentral. Lineage: Eukaryota; Viridiplantae; Streptophyta; Magnoliopsida; Malvales; Malvaceae.
GGUGGUGAGCUUUCUGACAAAAACAAAGAGAUAGUACCUGAGGAUCAAGAAUCGGAGUACUCGGAAUUCGACUCCCGAAAUAGUGAGUAACCUUAUCAUCAUCUUGAUUAUCUGAAGUGAAUUUUAAUUCGUUUUUGUGAUUUUAUGGAAAAUGAGUUUAAAUGGUAAAUCUUUAUGUUUUAUAAACAAAAUGUGUUUAAAUGAAAUGAUUUUAUAAAAUUGUCUUAAAAUUGAAAGAUGGUUUUGAAAAUGGAGUAAUUGGAGACUAAUUGUUGUGUUAUAAAUCACGGUUUGAAUUGAUUGGCUUAUGAUAAUAAUUGCAUGAAUGGCUGAAUUGGUAUUUGUGUUGAAAAUGUAUGAACUGUUAAUUUGCCUUAAGAGGCUAUAAAAUAAAAUAAUUGCCAUGUCAUAUUGUUAAAUUUUAUUGAAUUGGUGGAUUAUAUAUUUGUCACUACAGUGGACGGGUUCCGUGGACUAGCCUAUUAGAGGGGCACGAUAACCCUAUUAUAUUCAUACCUCAGUAUGAGAGGCGCGGUUGAAUAACUCUUGAGGUUAAAACUUUAGAGUUCACUUCACGCCAAACCACCACGUGAGGGUGAACUCAACCAACGCCAAGGAACGACUAUGUUUUCAAUAAAAAAAACAUGAUUUAUGCGUACAUGACUUUUUAACAGCCUUGACGGACUCGGUUGGGAUAGCCCUCGGCCAAGGUAUCCUUGAUAAUUGAGUAUGAGAAUGAUUUUUGCACGAGCCAAACUUUUCAGGAAAUCAUAAGCCUCGUUGUUUAUUUUGGUGAAAUGUAUCUAUUUUAUCUUAUUAAAAUGAGUUAGAAAUGUUGGGAAUCAUUUUUAUGCUAAUCUAUUUUAUUUGUCUCCAUUUACUCAGCUUUAGAUAUUUUAGAUGGUAUUUGUUUACUCACUGGGAUUAUAUAAUCUCACCACCCUCCUUUUCACCCCUUUCAG